This 468-nucleotide ribosomal RNA is filed under the name uncultured bacterium. RNAcentral describes it as "partial 16S ribosomal RNA". It matches the Rfam family "Bacterial small subunit ribosomal RNA", at positions 28 to 507 of the family's 1533-position model. The record is from RNAcentral.
GACGAACGCUGGCGGCGUGCUUAACACAUGCAAGUCGAACGGAAAGGCCCUGCUUUUGUGGGGUGCUCGAGUGGCGAACGGGUGAGUAACACGUGAGUAACCUGCCCUUGACUUUGGGAUAACUUCAGGAAACUGGGGCUAAUACCGGAUAGGAGCUCCUGCUGCAUGGUGGGGGUUGGAAAGUUUCGGCGGUUGGGGCUGGACUCGCGGCUUAUCAGCUUGUUGGUGGGGUAGUGGCUUACCAAGGCUUUGACGGGUAGCCGGCCUGAGAGGGUGACCGGCCACAUUGGGACUGAGAUACGGCCCAGACUCCUACGGGAGGCAGCAGUGGGGAAUAUUGCACAAUGGGCGGAAGCCUGAUGCAGCAGCGCCGCGUGCGGGAUGACGGCCUUCGGGUUGUAAACCGCUUUCGCCUGUGACGAAGCGUGAGUGACGGUAAUGGGUAAAGAAGCACCGGCUAACUACGUG